AUUGAACGCUGGCGGCAUGCCUUACACAUGCAAGUCGAACGGUAACAGGUCUUCGGAUGCUGACGCGUGGCGAACGGGUGAGAAAUACAUCGGAACGUGCCUAGUAGUGGGGGAUAACUACUCGAAAGAGUGGCUAAUACCGCAUGAGAUCUACGGAUGAAAGCAGGGUAUCGCAAGACCUUGUGCUACUAGAGCGGCCGAUGGCAGAUUAGGUAGUUGGUGGGAUAAAAGCUUACGAAGCCGACGAUCUGUAGCUGUUCUGAGAGGACGAUCAGCCACACUGGUACUUACACACAGCCCAGACUCCUACGGGAAGAAGCAGUGGUGAAUUUUGGACAAUGGGCGAAAGCCUAAUUCAGCACUACCGCUUGCAGGAUGAAGACCUUCGGGUUGUAAACUGCGUUUGUACGGAACGAAAAGCCCCGGGUUAAUACCCUGGGGUCAUGACGGUACCGUAAGAAUAAGCACCAGCUAGCUACGUGCCAGCCGCCGCGGUAA
This 498-nucleotide ribosomal RNA is filed under the name uncultured bacterium. Its description in RNAcentral is "partial 16S ribosomal RNA". It matches the Rfam family "Bacterial small subunit ribosomal RNA", at positions 30 to 523 of the family's 1533-position model. The record is from RNAcentral.